GAUUUCUGGUUAACUAUCCUAGCCCGCUUCCUUCGGGUUGUGAGUGCUGGUAUAACUAACCAUCCUUCCAGAGAGCCGUGAGUACCCUUACGGGGCCGCUCGCGUGCGAUCUGGAUCGUUUACUUUGAAAAAAUUAGAGUGUUUAAAGCAGGCUUACGCCUUGAAUACAUUAGCAUGGAAUAAUAACAUAGGACUUCGGUUCUAUUUUGUUGGUUUCUAGGACCUUAGUAAUGAUUGAUAGGGAUAGUUGGGGGUGCUAGUAUUCAGCGGCCAGAGGUGAAAUUCUUGGAUUCGCUGAAGACUAACUACUGCGAAAGCAUU
Molecule: ribosomal RNA, 321 nt
Filed under: uncultured Euglyphida
Lineage: Eukaryota; Cercozoa; Imbricatea; Euglyphida
Also listed under: 1 other name
Description: SSU rRNA
Rfam family: Eukaryotic small subunit ribosomal RNA (bases 109-321)
Source: RNAcentral